This 225-nucleotide ribosomal RNA is filed under the name uncultured bacterium. RNAcentral describes it as "partial 16S ribosomal RNA". It matches the Rfam family "Bacterial small subunit ribosomal RNA", at positions 109 to 334 of the family's 1533-position model. The record is from RNAcentral.
CGUAACACGUAUGUAACCUACCUUUAUCAGGGGGAUAGCCUCUCGAAAGAGAGAUUAAGCCCGCAUAAUAUGAAGACACAGCAUUGUGAUUUCAUCAAAUAUUUAUAGGGUAAAGAUGGGCAUGCGGAACAUUAGCUAGUUGGUAAGGUAAUGGCUUACCAAGGCUACGAUGUUUAGGGGAUCUGAGAGGAUGGCCCCCCACACUGGUACUGAGACACGGACCAG